This 462-nucleotide ribosomal RNA is filed under the name uncultured bacterium. RNAcentral's name for it is "partial 16S ribosomal RNA". It matches the Rfam family "Bacterial small subunit ribosomal RNA", at positions 28 to 507 of the family's 1533-position model. The record is from RNAcentral.
GAUGAACGCUGGCGGAAUGCUUAACACAUGCAAGUCGUUGGCGAAGCUGCGCUUGCGCGGUCUAGCCAAGGCGGACGGGUGGGUAACGCGUAAGGAAAUUUCCCUGCAAACAGGGAUAACAGACGGAAACGACUGAUAACACCUGGUAUUGUCAGUCUGGCGCAUGCCGGCCGGUUGAAAGGAGUGGCUGCGGUGGAUCCGUGCGUGCUAUGUCCGUGUUGGUGGGGUAACGUCACACAGAGGCGAUGGUAGGUCGCCGGCCUGAGAGGGUGAGCGGCCACAAGGGGACUGAGAUACGGCCGACACCCCUGCGGGAGGCAGGAGUGGGGAAUAGUGGACAAUGGGGGCAACCGUGAUCGAGCAAUUCUGUGUGCAAGAAGAAGGUUUUCGGAUUGUAAAGUGCUCACAGGAGAGAAGAAGAAAGUGACGGUACCUGCAGAAGAAGCGACGGCUAAAUACGUG